Molecule: long non-coding RNA, 243 nt
Filed under: Elaeis guineensis (African oil palm)
Lineage: Eukaryota; Viridiplantae; Streptophyta; Magnoliopsida; Arecales; Arecaceae
Description: long non-coding RNA (EGUI_LNC023893)
Source: RNAcentral
AAAAUAUUCUACGGGGUGCGCAGACAUGUUUGAUCUUGUCAUCAAAUCCAGUUAUCAAUAUGCCCAACUACCCAUUUCAUUAUUUCUAAUUAAUUCAAAGGAAAGUUAGAAGGACUUGGGUUGGCAAGGUGGGCACCAUCACCCAAGCGUCAUCCACAUGGGAGAGGCCCUUGCUUGGAACCCAUGAGAUGGCAUUUCCUCUAUUUCUCACUCAAAAAAUAAAAAAAAUGGUUUAUAGUUAUG